Molecule: ribosomal RNA, 108 nt
Filed under: uncultured bacterium
Lineage: Bacteria
Description: partial 16S ribosomal RNA
Rfam family: Bacterial small subunit ribosomal RNA
Source: RNAcentral
UAGGGAAUUUUCGUCAAUGGGGGCAACCCUGAACGAGCAAUGCCGCGUGAGCGAAGAAGGUCUUCGGAUUGUAAAGCUCUGUUGCCGGGGAAAAAGGAAGGAAAGAGG